Rhodamnia argentea is the source of this 1317-nucleotide RNA transcript. RefSeq lists it as uncharacterized. Lineage: Eukaryota; Viridiplantae; Streptophyta; Magnoliopsida; Myrtales; Myrtaceae. The record is from RefSeq and is a predicted model, not a curated record. The transcript is spliced from 5 exons.
UGGGGGGUCUCCCACCAAGAUUUACUCCUCCUGCCUUUUCUAUUCGCAAAUUUUCGAUUUUUUUCCUCAACUAAACGAAAAAUGUCUUCUUCGAGAGAAAGGGCUCGAGCAAUCUCUUCCAUUGCUGCGGCUGCAUUCUUUUUCCUCAUCAUUCUUCAAGUCCCUCUUUUCAGGGUUCCAUGUAGGAUUGGAAUGUGCACAACACCAAUGCAGGUGACAUCCUCUCAGUUGUUUGCGACUGAAAUCUUCCCUCAGUCUGUAGUUAAAGCUCUUCUCUAUCCGGGAGCCGUUGCCAAUGCUUUUCUGAUGAGCAAGACCAUACCAAGCUAUGAUGACUUGCUAGACGCCUACAAUUUUGCCAAUUCUAAGGCGGUCUCAUCAGCUAUAGAUCUUCGACGCAUUGAGGUCCUGGCAGGGAGCUACUUAAUGGUGGCAGGAGCUCUUCUUAGUCUCAUGAAGCCGGUGAGGAUGAGCUUUUUCGGUGCGCUUCUAGUCAUUUGGGGCCUGGCUAGGGAAGUCAUGCUCGGAAAGACUGCUUACUCCAAUUCAUCAAAAUCCAUACGUAUGUACCCAACGUUGUUCUUUGCAGCAGUUUCUGCUUUUGCCUCAAUGCGGAAGGAUGUGAGAAAGAUAGUACGUAUGUGCAGAACUAGGAAGUCAAUAUGGAUAGACUGAAACAUGAGAAAGCAAAACACAGGUUUCAAUGGAGCUCCGUUGGCUUUCCAAUGGUGGCUGGCCUACUGAGACGCUCGGUCAUCUUUGGUGGUAUUGGAGUUUGCAGAAGAUGGUUACUCACUUUCUGAAGCAACUGCUAAGGAGAAAAUUAUCUGAGGCAGAGAAUGCUUCCCUUUUAUAGUACGAGAUCUUUUAAAAAACCCCACCUGGUUCAGAUGAAACUUUGAUAAGUAAUCUCAGAGAGAGACAGAGAGAGACUAAUACUUACAAACGGAGACUGACCUUAGGAGACUGAAGUACAACCAAGCCUUCAUUAGCGGCUUUUGCAAGCGUUAUCUGCCAUCUACGCACAGACAAUAUCGAUUUGGUGACAGCUAAAGAAGUUUCUAGGAGUGAAGCACUUGCAACAGGUUCCUCAGAUGUUGCAUCAGCUUUAGCAGGAGCAUGGGACUGGGGAGAUGGAGGUACAGUGGCAGUCUUUCUGGUCGGAUUCCUCACCAAAUAUAGCUGAAUACCGUUGAGCUAAAUGUAGAUAGGAAUAAAACAAAGAGAACUUUUAAUUGGACCUGAGCAUGACUUCUACAGGGUGGCUGGAGGCCAAAUUGUGAAAUCCUCUCAGUUUACAUGAAUAAGUGAACCCAA